UGAGGGAAUAUUGGGUCAAUGGACGGGAGUCUGAACCAGCCAAGUAGCGUGCAGGAUGACGGCCCUAUGGGUUGUAAACUGCUUUUGUGCGGGGAUAAAGUGUGGGACGUGUCCCAUAUUGCAGGUACCGCAUGAAUAAGGACCGGCUAAUUCCGUGCCAGCAGCCGCGGUAAUACGGAAGGUCCAGGCGUUAUCCGGAUUUAUUGGGUUUAAAGGGAGCGCAGGCGGACUUUUAAGUCAGCUGUUAAAUUCGGUGGCUCAACCAUCGCAUGCAGUUGAAACUGGAGGUCUUGAGUGUACACAGGGAUGCUGGAAUUCAUGGUGUAGCGGUGAAAUGCUCAGAUAUCAUGAAGAACUCCAAUCGCGAAGGCAGGCAUCCGGGGUACAACUGACGCUGAGGCUCGAAAGUGCGGGUAUCAAACAGGAUUA
Molecule: ribosomal RNA, 429 nt
Filed under: uncultured Prevotellaceae bacterium
Lineage: Bacteria; Pseudomonadati; Bacteroidota; Bacteroidia; Bacteroidales; Prevotellaceae
Description: bacterial SSU rRNA
Rfam family: Bacterial small subunit ribosomal RNA
Source: RNAcentral